Physeter macrocephalus (sperm whale) is the source of this 267-nucleotide long non-coding RNA. RefSeq lists it as uncharacterized. The transcript is spliced from 3 exons. The record is from RefSeq and is a predicted model, not a curated record. Lineage: Eukaryota; Metazoa; Chordata; Mammalia; Artiodactyla; Physeteridae.
GCCUUCCUUAGCUUGGUACAGCUCUGUUUGCAGCAAGAUCCUGAGAAAAGGCCAUCAGCAAGCAGUUUAUUAUCCCAUGUUUUCUUCAAACAGAUGAAGGAAGAAAGCCAGAGUUCAAUACUUUCACUGUUGCCUCCUGCUUGUCACAGGCCAUCAACAGCUCCACCUCCAGUGUCACCUUGGACUGAGCCGGAAUGGGAUUUUCCUGAUGAAAAAGAUACAAACUGGGAAUUCUAGGGCUGCCAAACCCUUUUAUGUCCUAUAUAC